UGCUGGCUGUUUUUCGUCAUUUUGAGUAGGGAAGUUUCUAAUAGCUUGGCUCGAGGCCUCGUUAGUAAUAAAACUUCGUGUAAAUGUGUAAAAAAUAGAAGUUUGUGUAAUAGGUUAUUACUCUAAGAAUGCUAGUGUCUCUAGAUGUAUUCAAUGCACUGUAUUAUGUACCUUUGAUGUAUAUAUUGUAUAUAAACUUUAAUCAAAGUCUAUAUACAAUAUGCACAAUCGGGCUGAUCCACAUAGUGCUGCCAUUGCUAUCGGUAAACAUAUAUGGACCCGUAAAUAACUCACAAAAGUGAGUGAACCGAAACACUUGACCUAAAUGUAUCUGUUGAAGACUGCGCCUUUUACACCUCGGAUAUGGGAAUGCAAAAACGAGGACGUAACAUAAGUAUGAGUCCUCAAAAAGCACUUAAAAAGUUAAGAUUAACUAAGUCUUAGAUGUCGUGAUGUCUAUUCGACGUUCCAAUUAAAUCUUGCGAACGUUUUUUUGAAAAAAUAAUCCUAUAUUGCAUAUUAAGCUGUUUCGUACGAAUUAAGGUCUAACCAAGGGUAGGAAAGAAAAAUUGUGAAUGUAUAUGCAAAAAUGGAAGCACAUAAACGCCACUAUAAUGGAGAUAUAGUUGAGAUACACACCUAUUUUUGAUCAUUUUAAGACUGUUGAAAAUAUACCGUUCACAAAAAUCAAGAAGACGCACCCGCAAAUGUUAGAGAAGUUUCUUUAUAUUACCGGGACCAGAAACAGAAAUAUGUCUUAGGGAAAUUUAUAGCAAUAAGAUGAUGCGUCAACAAUCUUUUUGCAUGGAGACUAUUCUUUUGCACACAGAGGAUGAGUGCUGUGCAUAAAUCCCGUUCUGUCAAACGUUCUUCACUCUGAUCAAGUACGAAUAGAUCAGAUCUAUCCUUUAUUGCCAUUACCGAAUUAGAAUGAAAUUUCAUCUCAUUUAAUUUUCGAGAUUUUUACGAUAAAACUUUAAAAGGUUUAUUGACUUCAGGUAGAUAGGCGCUGCACCUUAGGUCAACUUGGAUACGGCUGAAAGCAGUGAUAUUCAGACGCUGCUUUUCAGACAGAGCUAUUUUUGUAGGGACCGCUGUAAGAGCAUGUUUUUACAAUAGCCAAUACAACGAGUUAGAUUAUGUGGUCACCAUGGGUGUUGUAAGGAAUUCGAGCUUAGAGGCUCUAUAGAACGGAGUUUUCUGAAUGUUUUGCUGGUGUAGCCCAACCCUUGGAUGGCCUAAUAGAUCGUUUGAAGCUGGCUUUUGACUGAUCAACAAAUUUAGUGAAGGUUGACGACAGAUGAAUUAUGGUUUGUAACAUGAUUAGCUAGACGUUAAAUGGCUAUCUACUUUUGCCAGGGACACAGUUGUUUAUUAGAAGCUAAGCAUCGUCCCACGUUAAAUGUUGAUUUGAUCGCGCAAAAGAUUUCCGGUUUACAUUCUGGGAGAAAAUUAACAUAAACAUAAUAAACACUUAUACACAAUAAACUGCAAAGACCAGAUGCGGUAACGAUAACGACUGUAACAAUAAUUUGUGUAAUCGCAAUAAGGAAAAGGUUUGGCUAACCUACAAAGUAUGAGUAUUGCUAGAGCCUUUUUUGAGAUGUUUACAGGAUUUUACCGUUUCUAACAGAGUCCAUUCGUAUUUUGAGACUGACACGUCACAAAAAACUAUAUAUACAGGUCGAUAGACUCCCAAAAAUAUGACACUGUUCUUCCGGCAUAUUUCACUGAAUAAAGCAAUCGAUAAAAAACAGCUGUUUGAGCGAGCAGUUACUAAGCGCUCCAACUCUGUAGUAAAUUAAGACAUUGUUUAUUUUUUGUUUUUGUAUUAUUUUUACAAAAUUUAAGUCAAAAGACAUUGUUCUUAGGACGCGCUAAAAGUGUUCAUUUACCGACAGAGGUCUCCAUACUAAUAUUAACAGAAUGACUUUGUUCACUAUGACAAAAAAAAAUCGCGCACAAACAUAGAUGACGCUUUAUUUCUAUUUUGCGUAGUAUAAUUGGCAAAAAAAAAGUCAAGCUAAUUAAGACCAGCUUUAAAAACCAAUGAUGAGUCUGUGUAACACAAAUAAAUAAUAGCGUGAGAUGCGGCUAGUCAUGUACCCACUUAAAUUAAGGAACAUUUUUAGCAAGCUUGCAAAAAAUGGGUCACUUCGGAUUUUUACGGUGCUAGAUAAAAGGCGGUGGGAACUAUGAGAGCGAAAAGGUGCUACAGAAAUCGCUAACUAAACGAUAUACGGGUGUUACAAGUAUGGGAUAAAAGCACAAUUUUCUUACAGCAGGCCAUCAUGGCCAAUCUGCUUGUAUUGAAUUUUAACCGAGCAUUUACCGAGAUCGUUUGUAAACUAAAAGAAGAGCAAUGUUGUUAUUUGAAGCAGCUUAUUAUAAUAAUAGCUUGCAUAAGCUUUUGAAGAUUAAGAUGAUAUGAAUACCUGAAGACUUCAAGAAGUGUUGCCAAUGGAUGCUGCUGCACUUUUCAGAAUCAUAUUUGAAAUGAGGCGCCUUUCAAACAUUCAAUUGCGCAGAUUUUAUAACCCAACUUACUUCAUGUGUGCUACAUUUAAAAUGCUUGCCUUAUUUAAAGUAAAAAAACAUUUAGUUUCCGUUUGCCAAUGAAGAAAAGGUGGAUAUUAAGUAUUCUAUGCAGUAGAGAUAAAUAUAUUCGCAAAGAUCUGUAAAUAAUGAAGUGAGAUAGGAUUUUGUCCGGGACGCUCAUGCUACCACAAGCAGUGGUCGAGGGAUCCCUGUGCACCAUCGUUUCUUGCUUAUGCAGCUAUUCGUCGGAGAAGGGAAACAAAUCUAGCUGCCCAGUUACUAGUUGGAUGGGUAGGCUACGUUGCUUCGAAAUAGCAACUUAUGCCCAUGCCGCCGCUGUAGCGCUAGGAAUAGUCAGAAGUAGUCAAUGUUGUAGUUGUAGGGAAGUGGCUGGGUGGGCGUUUUGGUGUGAUGGGCGCGCAGGAAAAUGGGGAAUAGGGAGACCGCACCGGCUCAGCUAAGUUAGAGACCCCCUGAAAUCCCCUUCUUCCCAUUCCACCUCCAUGAAAAUGUACUUGGCCGAAUGAAUUACAUUAGGAUUAACCGCCCUCUAUCUGCUAACCCAUAGAAGGUAUUUCGGAAACAAAUAGGUCUGGUGUCACGUGCAUAUCAACCUAUAGACUGUGUGUGUGUGUAGAAGAGAAGCAACCUAUAAAACUGUUUAUGCUGCAACGUUCCCAGUGCCGCUCAGAAAACGGGCCAAGUCGCCGUUCUCCUUGAAUGAAAGAACCGCGAGGUUUAGCUGAUCCCUGCAACGAGAUAAAGCCGCCAGAGAAAAUGCAGGUUU
This is a long non-coding RNA of Varroa destructor (honeybee mite), 3325 nucleotides long. RefSeq lists it as uncharacterized. NCBI's taxonomy places the organism in Eukaryota, Metazoa, Arthropoda, Arachnida, Mesostigmata, Varroidae. The record is from RefSeq and is a predicted model, not a curated record.